Molecule: ribosomal RNA, 470 nt
Filed under: uncultured bacterium
Lineage: Bacteria
Description: partial 16S ribosomal RNA
Rfam family: Bacterial small subunit ribosomal RNA
Source: RNAcentral
GACGAACGCUGGCGGCGUGCUUAACACAUGCAAGUCGAACGGUGAAGGGAUCAGCUUGCUGGUUCUGGAUGAGUGGCGAACGGGUGAGUAACACGUGAGCAAUCUGCCCCUGACUCUGGGAUAAGCGCUGGAAACGGCGUCUAAUACUGGAUACGAGCUGCGAAGGCAUCUUCAGCAGCUGGAAAGAACUUCGGUCAGGGAUGAGCUCGCGGCCUAUCAGCUUGUUGGUGAGGUAACGGCUCACCAAGGCGUCGACGGGUAGCCGGCCUGAGAGGGUGACCGGCCACACUGGGACUGAGACACGGCCCAGACUCCUACGGGAGGCAGCAGUGGGGAAUAUUGCACAAUGGGCGAAAGCCUGAUGCAGCAACGCCGCGUGAGGGACGACGGCCUUCGGGUUGUAAACCUCUUUUAGCAGGGAAGAAGCGAAAGUGACGGUACCUGCAGAAAAAGCGCCGGCUAACUACGUG